RNAcentral lists this long non-coding RNA (221 nucleotides) under Carica papaya (papaya). Its description in RNAcentral is "long non-coding RNA (CPAP_LNC009446)". The record is from RNAcentral. Lineage: Eukaryota; Viridiplantae; Streptophyta; Magnoliopsida; Brassicales; Caricaceae.
UUGGGCAAGGGUUGUGUACGUGGGUCAAUGCAUGCUACUAUUGUAGGGUCUUAGCCUUGCCCAAGGCUAAGAUGGUAAUAGAUGGCAGUUUUGCAGUUCUCACUCUUGCUUUCUAUUGUUCUUCUAGACUUUAGGCUCUAACUCCUGUCCUGCAUCAAAAUGGAUAAAAUAACUUGAUUACGUAGUAAAAAAUUCAUUUUAGACACACAAAAGUAGAUGAU